GCGAUCUGCGCCGGCGGUUGCAGCAAUCGUGGCAGAUGUGUGGCACCGAACCAAUGCUCGUGCGCCGACGGAUUCAACGGAACUCGCUGUGAGCAGUGCCUACCACGCGCGGGAUGUGUCAACGGAGACUGUGUUAACGAGACGCCGAACACGUGCAAGUGUAGAGACGGUUUUAUUGGUGAUCGGUGUGAUAUUGACAUCAAAAUCUGCUCUCUCGAAAAACCGUGUGCAAACGGUGGAAUCUGUUCAAUUGACUCGUCAUCGUCGACCGGCUACAAAUGUCAUUGCCCAUUCGAAUUCGUCGGCUCUCAAUGCAAAACACCGCUGAGCAAAGUUCGGUGCUCCGCGGAGCACGUUUGUAAGAAUGGAGGCGCUUGCAUCUCAAUGGACGACACAAAUAUUCAGUGCAAGUGCCGUCGCGGAUUUUCGGGAAAAUUCUGUGAAAUUGGAAAUCACGGGGAUUGCUCGGCGAUGCGGUGCUCCGCCGGAGAGACGUGCCAAAUUAGUGGAGAUUUUGCGAUUUGUGUGGAAAAUGAUGAGCUACUACUGACAACUAAUAAGCCUGCUGAAACGACGAAAAGCGUUGAAAAAUGGAGAGAACCCCGAAAAACGGCGAACGACGAGCAAGCCUCGGAUGAGCUUCAACUUCGGCUGAUCGCCGCAAUUUGUGUGCUCUUUUCAGUUUGUGUGAUCGGUCUCGCCUUGGUCAGCUUUUUCUUCUACAUGCACUCAUUCUCCAAGUGGAAACAUCCAUCGUCACAGCAGGCAGGAGGAAGCACAAUUCUUCCAACAACAACAUCAAUUCCAAUGUCUACAACGUCUUCGGGAACUGGAUCUCCUGUUUAUAAAGUGUGCAUAAUCGAUUCGGAGCACCGCGGAAACGCGCCAGGAAGCUCAUCAGAUUCCGAACCCGAUCACCACUGUCCGCCGCCGCACCGACAUUCUCCACCGCCUGCCUACUCGAGUCUCGUCCUGUACAAAAAAGUUCCGAUGGCAGCAGAUGACGAGUCGUCGUUUCGAGUCUAA
This 1026-nucleotide unclassified non-coding RNA is filed under the name Caenorhabditis elegans. Its description in RNAcentral is "Non-coding transcript of protein-coding gene apx-1". Lineage: Eukaryota; Metazoa; Nematoda; Chromadorea; Rhabditida; Rhabditidae. The record is from RNAcentral.